GCGUUGGUGGUGCAGUGGUGAGCAUAGCUGCCUUCCAAGCAGCUGUACUGGGUUCAAUUCCCGACCAACGCC
Non-coding RNA from Rana temporaria (common frog), 72 nucleotides. Lineage: Eukaryota; Metazoa; Chordata; Amphibia; Anura; Ranidae. The record is from the annotation of a RefSeq genome assembly.